RNAcentral lists this transfer RNA (71 nucleotides) under Protapanteles sp. 2 SNS-2016. RNAcentral's name for it is "tRNA-Pro". Lineage: Eukaryota; Metazoa; Arthropoda; Insecta; Hymenoptera; Braconidae. The record is from RNAcentral.
CAAAAUAUAGUUUAUUUAAAAAAUAUUAAUUUUGGAAAUUAAGGAUAUAAAUAAAAAUUUUAUUUUUUUGA